GCCACCCUAGCUCAGCUGGUAGAGCAUCGCAUUCGUAAUGCGAGGGUCGUCAGUUCGAUUCUGACGGGUGGCUCCA
Molecule: transfer RNA, 76 nt
Filed under: Acidobacteriota bacterium
Lineage: Bacteria; Pseudomonadati; Acidobacteriota
Description: tRNA-Thr
Rfam family: tRNA
About the family: Transfer RNA (tRNA) molecules are approximately 80 nucleotides in length. Their secondary structure includes four short double-helical elements and three loops (D, anti-codon, and T loops).
Source: RNAcentral